RNAcentral lists this transfer RNA (72 nucleotides) under Verrucomicrobiaceae bacterium. RNAcentral describes it as "tRNA-Arg". It matches the Rfam family "tRNA". Rfam says of the family: Transfer RNA (tRNA) molecules are approximately 80 nucleotides in length. The record is from RNAcentral. Lineage: Bacteria; Pseudomonadati; Verrucomicrobiota; Verrucomicrobiia; Verrucomicrobiales; Verrucomicrobiaceae.
GCCGCGCUGGUGUAGCGGAUAGCACACCGCGCUACGAAUGCGGAAGCCGAGGUUCGAUUCCUCGUCGCGGCA